Non-coding RNA from Drosophila melanogaster (fruit fly), 990 nucleotides. NCBI's taxonomy places the organism in Eukaryota, Metazoa, Arthropoda, Insecta, Diptera, Drosophilidae. The record is from Ensembl.
CCCCAAGAAAACUAGAAACCAAAACAAGCUCACAACUUCACAAGAGAAAAGAUCGGCUGGAAAAUUAUUGAGGAUGCCGCUGGAAUAUUUAUCAAACAAAAUCGAUGAUAAAACGGGAUGAAGACAUAUGGUUUACCCGACUUCAAAAUCGACGUGAUGUCGACAUGACGGAUCGUAUCGCCUACAAAUGAAAACGGGGUCUGUCUUAAAGUCUGCGAAAGUUAAGAAAAAUAAAGAAGAAUGAGAACUGGUGGAGAAAUUUUAGAAGGCUAUAAGGUAACAAAAAAGUUUUAUGUUAAUAAAUAUAAGUUUCGAAUUAUUUUCGAAUGAAAAUAAGAACUUUUUUAACUGAUCCUUAGCCAGCUGCUGUUCCGUGUAAAUAUUAAGAACACAUUUAAGUGACACAUUUUCCACUUAUUGUUGUGCAACUUGCCGUAUGGAAUGGCCUUCCAUCUAGAACUCUCCCACAACUUGGUGUUGGUUGCACCACCAUCAACUUGAAGUUGUCAGAGACCUGAAUCUUUGCACAUCAACAGAUCUGCCCGCGCCAAAAACGCCUUUUGAAUGAUAAGUCAAAACUGCGGAAAAUGAGUAAGAAAAACUUAAAGACAAGCACCCAGUUCCAUUAGGGCAACUGGGGGAGCUGUGGACCCCAGAGCAAUGUUGAACGUUUUGGACAUAUCUUUUGCUUACAACAUUUACGACAGGAAGAAAUCCAUCAACACGAUUCUUUUGGUCUAGGCCUGCCUUCGGGCCAAAAGACUUUCCACAAGAAAAGGCCAAAAGAGUGAGAGAAAAAAAAAACAUUAAAUAAAAGUUGCAUUCAACACUCGCUUUCUUUGCGAGUCAUGUUGUAAUGGUCGCUCAAGGGCCUACAGACGACUGGUCGACCCUUUAGCAUUAGCUAAAGCGUACACUGCAAUAUAAUGUUUAAAGAAGUAUGCAACUCGUUGCUAUCAACUAUUUUUAAUGUUUUUUUGCGAUAAAAAU